Molecule: ribosomal RNA, 422 nt
Filed under: uncultured bacterium
Lineage: Bacteria
Description: bacterial SSU rRNA
Rfam family: Bacterial small subunit ribosomal RNA
Source: RNAcentral
UGAGGAAUAUUGGGCAAUGCCCGCAAGGGUGACCCAGCAACGCCGCGUGGAGGAUGAAUGUCGUAAGAUUGUAAACUCCUGUUAGAGGGGAAGAAUAGUACCGGUUGGACCGGUAUAUGACUGUACCCUCAGAGAAAGCCCCGGCUAACUACGUGCCAGCAGCCGCGGGAAUACGUAGGGGGCAAGCGUUGUCCGGAUUUACUGGGUGUAAAGGGCGCGCAGGCGGGAUAAAAAGUCAGUGGUGAAAUCCUACAGCUCAACUGUAGAACUGCCUUUGAUACUUUUAUUCUUGGGCUCGGGAGAGGGAGAUGGAAUUCCAGGUGUAGUGGUGAAAUACGUAGAUAUCUGGAAGAACACCAGUUGCGAAGGCGGUCUCCUGAUCCGACACUGACGCUGAGGCGCGAAAGCGUGGGGAACAAACA